This 641-nucleotide unclassified non-coding RNA is filed under the name Hevea brasiliensis (rubber tree). The record is from RNAcentral. Lineage: Eukaryota; Viridiplantae; Streptophyta; Magnoliopsida; Malpighiales; Euphorbiaceae.
GGCUAGGGCAGCUGGUUCUUUGUCUAAUAAGGAUAUUUGGGGUUAUUCUCCUCCAUCUAUCCUCCGUGAUGUACUGUUGUUUGAUUCCAGUAAUUAAACCUUUCACUUGGCUUGUUUAAAAAAAAAAAAAAAAUCCACAAACAAUUUAUUCUCUGAAAUAAACAGAGCUUGAAUUAUACAAGAUAGUCUAACUGGAUAUAGCCUUAAUUAGUAUGAAAAUAUAUGAUGGUUUAGAAAGAUGAAGCUAGUAUGUGCAGAAAAGAAACAAAAGUAUAUGUUGAGGAUUGAACAUUGGAGUGAAUUAGGAAAAAAAUAUUUUUAUUUUGAUCUCUCUAUUGUUUCUUCUUUAUUUGAUCACAGUACAUUGUAUGAAUGACAAUUCAUCAUUGAAGUAGGCAUCUUUUGUUUUAUGGCUUAGUUAAACUAUUGCAGAACCUGGCGCUUGGCAAUUGAAUCUCCUAAAUGUAGAAUUUGCUUUUUGUUUUAUAAUUCUAUUGGAUACACAUUUUUAUCUCUCAAGCUACUUUGCGCCCUUUGGAUAAGCCCCAGCAUUAAUAUUCAAAUUUUGCCAUAAAUGGCAGAUAACAUUUUAUUUUUAUCAAUUUUACUUUUGAUGCAGUCAGAGGUGACGUUAAGGAAAG